Molecule: long non-coding RNA, 939 nt
Filed under: Homo sapiens (human)
Lineage: Eukaryota; Metazoa; Chordata; Mammalia; Primates; Hominidae
Description: HSALNT0083182
Source: RNAcentral
ACCAGAUGAGGAUAAGGGGCGGACUACUGUAUAUACACUGGAUGAGAACAAGGGGGGACUACUGUAUACACACGGGAUGAGGAUAAGGGGGGAAUACUGUAGACACACCGGAUAAGGGGGGACUACUGUAUACACACCGGAUGAGGAUAAGGGGGGACUACUGUAUACACACCGGAUGAGGAUAAGGGGGGACUACUGUAUACACACCAGAUGAGGAUAAGGGGGGACUACUGUAUACACACACGGGAUGAGGAUAAGGGGGGACUACUGUAUACACAUUGGAUGAGGAUAAGGGGGGACUAUUGUAUACACACCAGAUGAGGAUAAGGGGGGACUACUGUAUACACACCAGAUGAGGAUAAGGGGGGACUACUGUAUACACACCGGAUGAGGAUAAGGGGAGACUACUGUAUACACACGGGAUGAGGAUGAGGGACUAUUGUAUACACACCAGAUGAGGAUAAGGGGGACUACUGUAUACACACCGGCUGAGGAUAAGGGGGGACUACUGUAGACACACCGCAAGAGGAUAAGGGGGGACUACUGUAUACACACCGGAUGAGGAUAAGGGGGGACUACUGUAUACACACCGGAUGAGGAUAAGGGGGGACUACUGUAUACACAUCGGGUAAGGGGGAACUACUGUAUACACACAGGACUGACUUUUUACAUUUAAAAAUCAGUGUGUUAGAAUUUAUACAAGAGAACUACUUUCUGCUAGAGGCUGCCCAGCUCCGCCCCUGGCUCUGCAUGGGGUCGGGGCCUGGGCAGGGGAGAGUGAGAUGCCUGCACCUAUUCAUCUCAUUGGUGUGGACACUGCUCAGAGUACCCUGGAUCCUUUUCAAAACCGCCCCCAAAGCCAGCACAGCCCAAGUCGCCAAGGCUGUGGACGGAGCUUUAUGGUCCCUCCCUUUUCAGAACUGGGAGAAACCGCCCACU